AUGAUGGAGAAUCAUCAGAUCGAGAUGGGGGCUUUCAAGGCAAACGGCCUGGAUGUGCCCAACGGCGUGCUGCGGUCGACCAUGAUCCCGUCCUGGAGCUUGCACACCACCGUGAAGAGAGUAUUGCAGAGCAUCAGGACCGUCAUAUUCACCUCCAAGCUCAACCUGCUCAUGCCCUUUGGGCCUGCGACGAUCGUUCUGUACUACACUACGGAUUGGCAUGGAGUGAUUUUUCUUUUCAGCAUGCUAGGAAUAACACCGUUAGCUGAGCGUCUGGGUUAUGCAACUGAGCAGCUUGCGGUAUACACUGGUCCAACACUUGGAGGCCUUCUGAAUGCCACGUUUGGGAAUGCAACUGAGAUGAUAAUAGCAAUAUAUGCUUUGAAAAAUGGGAUGAUCCGAGUAGUUCAGCAAUCGCUAUUGGGUUCUAUAUUAUCAAAUAUGCUAUUGGUGGUUGGUUGUGCUUUCUUUGCUGGUGGUAUUAUUCAUCGCAACAAAGACCAAGUCUUCAGCAAGGCAACUGCUGUUGUUAACUCAGGUUUACUGUUGAUGGCUGUUAUGGGGCUGAUGUUUCCUGCUGUCCUUCAUUUCACAAAAUCAGAAAUACAGCAAGGAGCUUCUGAGCUUGCUCUUUCAAGAUUCAGUAGUUGUAUUAUGCUCGUGGCAUAUGCAAGCUAUCUUUAUUUUCAACUAAGUGCACGGAAUAGCAGUUACAGUCAAAUUGGCAGUGAAGAAGUGCCUAAUGAGGAUGCCACCGAGGAAGAUGAAGAGGUAGAGAUUAGCAUGUGGGAGGCUAUUGCGUGGCUUGCAGUGUUAACGAUAUGGAUUUCUGUCCUUUCUGAGUACCUGGUUAAUGCCAUUGAGGGAGCAUCUGAUUCAUUGCACCUACCAGUGGCUUUUAUCAGUGUUAUUUUGCUUCCUAUCGUGGGCAAUGCAGCAGAACAUGCUAGCGCAAUAAUGUUUGCGAUGAAAGAUAAGCUCGACAUAACAAUAGGUGUUGCAAUUGGAUCAUCAACGCAGAUAUCAAUGUUUGUGAUUCCAUUUUGUGUUGUCGUUGGUUGGAUGAUGGGGCAAAAGAUGGACUUGAAUUUCCAACUAUUUGAGACAGCAACUCUCUUCAUAACAGUGCUUGUCGUGGCAUUUAUGCUACAGGAUGGCAUUGCAAACUAUCUGAAAGGACUUAUGCUGGUUCUGUGUUAUCUAAUAGUUGCUGCCAGUUUCUUUGUCCAUGUCGAUCCACAAGCCAGCGAUGAUGAUUGA
RNAcentral lists this ribosomal RNA (1260 nucleotides) under Triticum aestivum (bread wheat). RNAcentral's name for it is "partial small subunit ribosomal RNA". The record is from RNAcentral. Lineage: Eukaryota; Viridiplantae; Streptophyta; Magnoliopsida; Poales; Poaceae.